AUUGAACGCUGGCGGCAUGCUUUACACAUGCAAGUCGAACGGCAGCGCGGGCUUCGGCCUGGCGGAGAGUGGCGAACGGGCGAGUAAUGCAUCGGAACGUGCCCAGUUGUGGGGGAUAGCGCGGCGAAAGCGGGAAAAAUACCGCUUACGACCUGAGGGUGUAAGCGGGGGACCGAAAGGCCUUCCGACAUUGGGGGGGCCGAUGUCGGAUUAGCUAGUUGGUGGGGUAAAGGCUUACCAAGGCGACGAUCCGUAGCUGGUCUGAGAGGAUGACCAGCCACACUGGAACUGAGACACGGCCCAGACUCCUACGGGAGGCAGCAGUGGGGAAUUUUGGACAAUGGGGGCAAGCCUGAUCCAGCCAUGCCGCGUGCGUGAAGAAGGCCUUCGGGUUGUAAACCGCUUUUGUUCGGGAAGAAAUCCUCUAGGCUAAUACCCCGGGGUGAUGACGGUACCGGAAGAAUAAGCACCGGCUAACUACGUG
Molecule: ribosomal RNA, 484 nt
Filed under: uncultured bacterium
Lineage: Bacteria
Description: partial 16S ribosomal RNA
Rfam family: Bacterial small subunit ribosomal RNA
Source: RNAcentral